This 253-nucleotide ribosomal RNA is filed under the name uncultured bacterium. Its description in RNAcentral is "partial 16S ribosomal RNA". It matches the Rfam family "Bacterial small subunit ribosomal RNA", at positions 524 to 776 of the family's 1533-position model. The record is from RNAcentral.
UACGGGGGGGGCUAGCGUUGUUCGGAAUUACUGGGCGUAAAGCGCGCGUAGGCGGACCUGCAAGUCGGGGGUGAAAGCCCGAGGUUCAACCUCGGAACUGCCUUCGAUACUGCGGGUCUCGAGUCCGGGAGAGGUGAGUGGAAUUCCUAGUGUAGAGGUGAAAUUCGUAGAUAUUAGGAAGAACACCAGUGGCGAAGGGGGCUCACUGGCCCGUUACUGAUGCUGAGGCGCGAAAGCGUGGGGAGCACACAGG